CUAAUUAUAGGGAUACUGAACCGAUUUUGAAAAUUAUUUUACCACUAGAAAGCCACGUUAUUUGUGAGUGUCAAAGGCUACAUUUUAUACCCAUAGAAUAUAUGGGUAUAAAAUGGGACGAAACACAGGACGAAAACUUUUUUGUCUAAGUUCAGAUUUGAUAAUAGCCAGGAAUUUAUUUCUAAUUUGUUUGUUGGUAAAUAGUGCACAUCGAUUUGGUUUUAGUACAGACAAACGUUUGUUUAUCUACUUGUACUUGUCUAAGUACAAGACAAACGAGGAGUACUUUCAUAUUAAUUUGAAUUCUAAAGCUUAUAAAGGGGCAAAUAGCUUGGUCAUUUCAAAUUAACUUUCAAAAGCUCACAUGGUUAAGAAAGACACAAAAGACUAUUUCUGACAGCCCUAAUUCACCAUUGUAUCGCGUUCAAAAACGGGAACCUUUCAAUGCACAAUGAGCAAUUCAUUACUUUCUGAACGCAAAUUAAACUUCGACAACGUAAUUCCCUCUUAAAUAAGUAAUACCUUGACGCAGUGGAAAUAAUAAAAAAAUAUGUAUAAUUCGUAUAAAUACUUAUAUCUUUACAUGGAGAAAGAAAAUGUAAAAAAUAUUAACCACUUUUUAAUAGCUUUGAGAUGCCUGUUCCAAAAUAAAAUUUCAUUAUGGUUAUGGUUACCUUUCUUUUUUUUCUAUUAAUUUGCUUCAAAGCUUUGCGUUCUAACCUCCGUCAGCGUAGUAUCCUCUGAACUGUUAAAAUUAAGUACCUAAAACAAAUAAAAUGAAACGUUAAUAUAAUGGAUGUUGAGUUGAAAUAUAACGUGAAAAGUUGUUUCAUUGUGAAUAUCUUUUCUGACUAAAUAGGUUACGGCGGGCUAUAAAAGAAGUAAAGUUUGGGACACAACAAACGUUUUAAAAAUUAUUAGUUUAUUACUUAUACAUAGGGUAAGUCCAGGAUAGAUGCCCCAGUGGGAUAGAUGACUCGAUUUUUAUUUCACUAUGUUAGGAGCACUGUAGGAGCUAAAUUUUACUGUAAGUAACGAGUCCUCCCCCCGCAAACCUUAGUGUCGGGAGGAAUUUUGACCGGAGUGCAUGCGCUUCGUCUGUGUGAGUAAAAAUCUUCCGCGGUGAGACGACAAAAGGCGCCAAAAUAAGAUUCGAGAGCAAAAUGCCUCGUAAAUAUAAAAGAAAACAGGGUGUUGUCCUUCGUACUGUAACCUAGACCGAAGACAGUAUGCUAGCAGCAUUUGAAGAGAUGAAAAAGGAAAAGAAAUCAGAUUUCUAGAAUAUAAGAUAUACCAUCCAAAAUAUUAAGACGAAGAUUUGCCAUUAAUGGCAAAUCUUAUUUUCAAAAUAACUGUAUAUGUACCUACUGUUGUUUUAAAUUUGAUUUACUUUUACUUUGUAUUGUAUUGCAUCAUAUCAUUGUAGUUAUUAUCUGGCAUAAUUAUUACUAAAAAAAUAUUAUAUAUAUCCAGCAUUUAUUUUUAUUUGUUUUAUGAAAACAUCCUGUAAUAACAAAAAACGACUCGUGGCUCUUACAUUCAAAUUAAGAGAAGCUGGAUUUCCGCCGGACCGAACAGCAAUACGUCAGUUAGCAUACCAGUUUGCUAAAAAGCUACAGCUAAAGCAUAACUUUAACGAAGAUGGCCAAGAAAUUAAAAUGAAAGUUAUAUAAAACACCAUAAAGACUGAUUAUAAUAAUAUAGUUUUUUGAUUUCAGAACAAACCAACUACAAUGUUUAAACUAAGUCGCCAAUCGCCACUAAGGGCACCUAUCCUCAGAAGCUUUUUCAUGAUAAGUCAUCUAUCCGCCACAGUAGGCAUCUAUCCCAUUUUUUAGAGGUCCAAAAAAUUACAAUUUACACAAAAUCUACACAGUCUAUAUCAGAACGAUUCAAAUAAUAUAGAACAUUAAGAAAUAUAUUUAAUAUCUCCCAAAGAACGCAAUGCUCUAAGAUUAUAAAAUUCAGAGUUAUUUAGCAUUUUCAAAAAGUGGGGCAUCUAUCCUGGACUUACCCUACA
Molecule: long non-coding RNA, 2020 nt
Organism: Bicyclus anynana (squinting bush brown)
Lineage: Eukaryota; Metazoa; Arthropoda; Insecta; Lepidoptera; Nymphalidae
Exons: 2
Source: RefSeq, a predicted model, not a curated record